This 641-nucleotide ribosomal RNA is filed under the name bacterium SYC44. Its description in RNAcentral is "partial 16S ribosomal RNA". The record is from RNAcentral.
GUACAUUGCCAAGUCGAGCGGGCAGACAGGAGCUUGCGCUUGAGUAUCGGGGGAGGGUGGGGAAGAAGGCUCUCUGUUGGGAGUGGGGGAAAAGAUUUAAUGGAACGCUAAUACAGAUCACGUAUUACGGGAAAAAGCAGGGGGGGGUCAGUCCUUGCUCUAUCCCAUGAGCCUGGGUCGGAUUAGCUUGUUGGUGGUGAGUGAUUAUGCAAUGCAACGAUAAUAACUGGUCUGGGAGGGAGAUCAAGCACACUGCACUGAUCAGAGACCGGACUCAUACCUAUAUGAGGAGGGGCGAGAUUAAUCAUUGGUCGGAAGCCUGACCCAGCCAUGCCGCGCCGUGAAUAAGGUCAUCGGAUUGAUAUCACUUCAAUUUGGGAGGAGGACAACGCGUUAAUUCCUAUGCUCACCGACGUAAAAUUUCAAUGAGAAUACGUCGGGUCCGUGCUACCACCGCGGUAAUAAAAGUGGGCUGCGUAGCUUUAAUUACUGGACGUAGGCACCGUAGUGGCUCGUUAUUUGUAUGAGAUGACACCCCCCUGAACCUGGUAAGACAUCCUAUACUGGUCAGCUACUAUACGUUUAGGGGGGGGACUGAUUCCGGAGCGCGAAGAGAUUGAUAUAAUAAGGAAAAACACUGG